Molecule: transfer RNA, 72 nt
Filed under: Plesiocystis pacifica
Lineage: Bacteria; Pseudomonadati; Myxococcota; Nannocystales; Nannocystaceae
Also listed under: 1 other name
Description: tRNA-Thr
Rfam family: tRNA
About the family: Transfer RNA (tRNA) molecules are approximately 80 nucleotides in length. Their secondary structure includes four short double-helical elements and three loops (D, anti-codon, and T loops).
Source: RNAcentral
GCUGACGAAGCUCAGAGGCAGAGCACCGCUGUGGUAAGGCGGAGGCCACGGGUUCGAGUCCCGUCGUCAGCU